RNAcentral lists this ribosomal RNA (489 nucleotides) under uncultured bacterium. RNAcentral's name for it is "partial 16S ribosomal RNA". It matches the Rfam family "Bacterial small subunit ribosomal RNA", at positions 899 to 1397 of the family's 1533-position model. The record is from RNAcentral.
ACUCAAAUGAAUAGACGGGGACCCGCACAACCAGUGGAGCGUGUGGUUUAAUUCGAGACAAAGCGAAAAACCUCACCAAGGCUUGACAUGCUAGAGUUCUAUUCUGAUGAAAGUCGGAAAAUCCGUAAGGAGACUAGCACAGGUGCUGCAUGGCUGUCGUCAGCUCGUGCCGUGAGGUGUUCCCUUAAGUGGGGAAACGAGUGCAACCCUUGUCUAAUGUUAAAUUAUUCAUUAGAGACUGCCCCGAUUUUUCGGGGAGGAAGGAAAGGCGGACGUCAAGUCAGCAUGGCCCUUAUGCCUUGGGCUACACACACCCUACAAUGGCGAAGAACAAAGAGUUGCAAGCUCGCAAGGGUAAGCUAAUCUCAGAAAUUUCGUCUCAGUUCGGAUUGGGGUCUGAAACUCGACCCCAUGAAGUCGGAAUUGGUAGUAAUCGCGGAUCAGCGGGCCGCGGUGAAUACGUUAUCGGGUCUUGCACACACCGCCCGU